Molecule: ribosomal RNA, 1138 nt
Filed under: uncultured archaeon
Lineage: Archaea
Description: bacterial SSU rRNA
Rfam family: Archaeal small subunit ribosomal RNA
Source: RNAcentral
CACGGACCCAGGCCCUAUGGGGCGCAGCAGGCGAGAAAACUUUGCAAUGUGCGAAAGCACGACAAGGUUAAUCCGAGUGGUUUCUGCUAAAGGAACCUUUUGUUAGUCCUAGAAACACUAACGAAUAAGGGGUGGGCAAGUUCUGGUGUCAGCCGCCGCGGUAAAACCAGCACCUCAAGUGGUCAGGAUGAUUAUUGGGCCUAAAGCAUCCGUAGCCGGCUCUGUAAGUUUUCGGUUAAAUCUGUACGCUCAACGUACAGGCUGCCGGGAAUACUGCAGAGCUAGGGAGUGGGAGAGGUAGACGGUACUCGGUAGGAAGGGGUAAAAUCCUUUGAUCUAUUGAUGACCACCUGUGGCGAAGGCGGUCUACCAGAACACGUCCGACGGUGAGGGAUGAAAGCUGGGGGAGCAAACCGGAUUAGAUACCCGGGUAGUCCCAGCUGUAAACUAUGCAAACUCAGUGAUGCAUUGGCUUGUGGCCAAUGCAGUGCUGCAGGGAAGCCGUUAAGUUUGCCGCCUGGGAAGUACGUACGCAAGUAUGAAACUUAAAGGAAUUGGCGGGGGAGCACCACAAGGGGUGAAGCCUGCGGUUCAAUUGGAGUCAACGCCAGAAAUCUUACCCGGAGAGACAGCAGAAUGAAGGUCAAGCUGAAGACUUUACCAGACAAGCUGAGAGGUGGUGCAUGGCCGUCGCCAGCUCGUGCCGUGAGAUGUCCUGUUAAGUCAGGUAACGAGCGAGAUCCCUGCCUCUAGUUGCCACCAUUACUCUCAGGAGUAGUGGGGCGAAUUAGCGGGACCGCCGCAGUUAAUGCGGAGGAAGGAAGGGGCCACGGCAGGUCAGUAUGCCCCAAAACUCUGGGGCCACACGCGGGCUGCAAUGGUAAUGACAAUGGGUUCCGAAUCCGAAAGGAGGAGGUAAUCCCCAAACAUUACCACAGUUAUGACUGAGGGCUGCAACUCGCCCUCACGAAUAUGGAAUCCCUAGUAACUGCGUGUCAUUAUCGCGCGGUGAAUACGUCCCUGCUCCUUGCACACACCGCCCGUCGUUUCAUUGAAGUGAGCUCUUAGCGAGGUGACGUCUGAUUGGCGUUAUCGAACUUGGGGUUCGUGACAAGGGAAAAGUCGUAACAAGGUAACC